This 332-nucleotide ribosomal RNA is filed under the name uncultured bacterium. RNAcentral's name for it is "bacterial SSU rRNA". It matches the Rfam family "Bacterial small subunit ribosomal RNA", at positions 568 to 898 of the family's 1533-position model. The record is from RNAcentral.
CGUGUAGGCGGUCUUUUAAGUCUGAUGUGAAAGCCCCGGGCUCAACCUGGGAAGUGCAUUGGAAACUGGGAGACUUGAGUACGGGAGAGGGUAGUGGAAUUCCUAGUGUAGGAGUGAAAUCCGUAGAUAUUAGGAGGAACACCGGUGGCGAAGGCGGCUACCUGGACCGAUACUGACGCUGAGACGCGAAAGCGUGGGGAGCAAACAGGAUUAGAUACCCUGGUAGUCCACGCCGUAAACGAUGAGUACUAGGUGUUGCGGGUAUUGACCCCUGCAGUGCCGCAGCUAACGCAUUAAGUACUCAGCCUGGGAAGUACGGUCGCAAGACUAAA